Molecule: ribosomal RNA, 484 nt
Filed under: uncultured bacterium
Lineage: Bacteria
Description: partial 16S ribosomal RNA
Rfam family: Bacterial small subunit ribosomal RNA
Source: RNAcentral
AUUGAACGCUGGCGGCAUGCUUUACACAUGCAAGUCGAACGGCAGCGCGGGCUUCGGCCUGGCGGCGAGUGGCGAACGGGUGAGUAAUGCAUCGGAACGUGCCCAGUAGUGGGGGAUAGCCCGGCGAAAGCCGGAUUAAUACCUCAUACGACCUGAGGGUGAAAGCGGGGGACCGAAAGGCCUCGCGCUAUUGGAGCGGCCGAUGUCGGAUUAGCUAGUUGGUGGGGUAAAGGCUUACCAAGGCGACGAUCCGUAGCUGGUCUGAGAGGACGACCAGCCACACUGGGACUGAGACACGGCCCAGACUCCUACGGGAGGCAGCAGUGGGGAAUUUUGGACAAUGGGGGCAACCCUGAUCCAGCCAUGCCGCGUGCGGGAAGAAGGCCUUCGGGUUGUAAACCGCUUUUGUUCGGGAAGAAAUCCUAUGGGCUAAUACCCCGGGGGGAUGACGGUACCGGAAGAAUAAGCACCGGCUAACUACGUG